GACGUAGGGCGCGAGCGUUGUCCGGAUUUAUUGGGCGUAAAGAGCUCGUAGGCGGCUUGUCGCGUCGACUGUGAAAACCCGCGGCUUAACUGCGGGCCUGCAGUUGAUACGGGCAGGCUAGAGUUCGGUAGGGGGAGACUGGAAUUCCGUGGUGUAGCGGUGAAAUGCGCAGAUAUCAGGAGGAACACCGGUGGCGAAGGCGGGUCUCUGGGCCGAUACUGACGCUGAGGAGCGAAAGCGUGGGGAGCGAACAGGAUUAGACUACCCCG
RNAcentral lists this ribosomal RNA (269 nucleotides) under uncultured bacterium. RNAcentral describes it as "partial 16S ribosomal RNA". It matches the Rfam family "Bacterial small subunit ribosomal RNA", at positions 524 to 789 of the family's 1533-position model. The record is from RNAcentral.